This 65-nucleotide transfer RNA is filed under the name Stenopsyche navasi. RNAcentral's name for it is "tRNA-Ser". Lineage: Eukaryota; Metazoa; Arthropoda; Insecta; Trichoptera; Stenopsychidae. The record is from RNAcentral.
GAAAUAUAAUUAAAAUUUAAACUUCUAAUUUAAAAAAUAGUGGCUUAGACCCCAUUAAUAUUUCU